Molecule: ribosomal RNA, 253 nt
Filed under: uncultured bacterium
Lineage: Bacteria
Description: partial 16S ribosomal RNA
Rfam family: Bacterial small subunit ribosomal RNA
Source: RNAcentral
UACGAAGGGGACUAGCGUUGUUCGGAAUUACUGGGCGUAAAGCGCACGUAGGCGGAUUUGUUAGUCAGGGGUGAAAUCCCGGGGCUCAACCUCGGAACUGCCUUUGAUACUGCAAAUCUCGAGUCCGAUAGAGGUGGGUGGAAUUCCUAGUGUAGAGGUGAAAUUCGUAGAUAUUAGGAAGAACACCGGUGGCGAAGGCGGCCCACUGGAUCGGUACUGACGCUGAGGUGCGAAAGCGGGGGGAGCAAACAGG